Molecule: ribosomal RNA, 486 nt
Filed under: Triticum aestivum (bread wheat)
Lineage: Eukaryota; Viridiplantae; Streptophyta; Magnoliopsida; Poales; Poaceae
Description: partial small subunit ribosomal RNA
Source: RNAcentral
AUGCUGCCGGCGCCGUCGCGGGCGGCGGCCGCGGGCGACGACGUCGAGGCGCGCACGCGGGAGCUGCAGGCGCUGGAGCGGCAGAAGGCGGUCAUCGACGCCAAGGCAGCGGCGCAGGUGCGGCGGGAGCUGUGGUGCGGGCUGGGCCUGCUGGCGGCGCAGACGCUGGGGUUCAUGCGGCUCACCUUCUGGGAGCUGUCGUGGGACGUGAUGGAGCCCGUGUGCUUCUACGUCACGUCCAUCUACUUCAUGUCCGGCUACACCUUCUUCAUGCGGACGGCCACGGAGCCGUCCUUCGAGGGCUUCUACCGGAGCCGCUUCGCCACGAGGCAGCGCCGCCUCAUGCGGGCCCGCCAGUUCGACGUCGCCCGGUACAACGCUCUGAAGCAAGGCGAGCGGCGCGGCGGCUCCGGCUCUGCCGGGCAGAGCGAUCACGGCGAGUGCGACGCCGACGUGCUUAGGCACGCCACGCACGCACAUCAGUAG